GUGCAUAUAAGGGCUUUGGUUUUGCCUUUGAAGUUCAGAGGUCUCUGCCUGAUCAUGUCAUGGGCGAUGAAAGAAGGGUUUUUCAGGUGCUUUUGCAUAUGGUGGGGAGCCUAUUAAAUGACAUCAACCAAGGAGGAGGAUAUGCUUUGUUUCGGGUUGUAGCCGAGAGUGGAAGUCAGGGAAGGAAUGACCAAAGAUGGGGUAAUUGGAGACAAAGCUCUUCUGAUGGCGAUGCAUUUAUCAGAUUUGAGGUUGGGAUAAAUAAAAGUAAUUCUCAAUCAGAGGGCUCCAUUCCAAAUAUAGUAACCAGUGAUCGGAGAUACGCCAGUGACGGAGCUGAGGAACGCUUGAGCUUUACCAUCUGCAAGAAGCUUGUUAAGUUGAUGCAAGGGAAUAUAUGGGUAAUCCCUAAUCCUCAAGGAUUUACACGAAGCAUGGCACUUGUUCUUCGUUUUCA
RNAcentral lists this unclassified non-coding RNA (457 nucleotides) under Hevea brasiliensis (rubber tree). Lineage: Eukaryota; Viridiplantae; Streptophyta; Magnoliopsida; Malpighiales; Euphorbiaceae. The record is from RNAcentral.